Molecule: ribosomal RNA, 826 nt
Filed under: uncultured bacterium
Lineage: Bacteria
Description: bacterial SSU rRNA
Rfam family: Bacterial small subunit ribosomal RNA
Source: RNAcentral
AGCUUGCUACUUUGCUGACGACCGGUGGACGGGGGAGUAAUGCUUGGGAAUAUGCCUUAUGGUGGGGGACAACAGGUGGAAACGACUGCUAAUACCGCAUAACGUCUACGGACCAAAGGGGGGGAUCUUCGGACCUCUCGCCAUUUGAUUAGCCCAAGUGAGAUUAGCUAGUUGGUGAGGUAAAGGCUCACCAAGGCGACGAUCUCUAGCUGGUUUGAGAGGAUGAUCAGCCACACUGGGACUGAGACACGGCCCAGACUCCUACGGGAGGCAGCAGUGGGGAAUAUUGCACAAUGGGCGAAAGCCUGAUGCAGCCAUGCCGCGUGUGUGAAGAAGGCCUUCGGKUUGUAAAGCACUUUCAGUUGUGAGGAAAGGAGUGUAGUUAAUAGCUGCAUUUUGUGACGUUAACAACAGAAGAAGCACCGGCUAACUUCGUGCCAGCAGCCGCGGUAAUACGAGGGGUGCAAGCGUUAAUCGGAAUUACUGGGCGUAAAGCGUUCGUAGGCGGUCUAUUAAGCAAGAUGUGAAAGCCCAGGGCUCAACCUUGGAACUGCAUUUUGAACUGGUAGACUAGAGUACUGUAGAGGGUGGUGGAAUUUCCAGUGUAGCGGUGAAAUGCGUAGAGAUUGGAAGGAACAUCAGUGGCGAAGGCGGCCACCUGGACAGAUACUGACGCUGAGGAACGAAAGCGUGGGGAGCGAACAGGAUUAGAUACCCUGGUAGUCCACGCCGUAAACGAUGUCAACUAGCCGUUUGUGGACUUGAUCCGUGAGUGGCGCAGCUAACGCACUAAGUUGACCGCCUGGGGAGUACGGCCGCAAGGUUA